AGUGAACGCUGGCGGUAGGCCUAACACAUGCAAGUCGAACGGCAGCACAGUAAGAGCUUGCUCUUACGGGUGGCGAGUGGCGGACGGGUGAGGAAUACAUCGGAAUCUACUUUUUCGUGGGGGAUAACGUAGGGAAACUUACGCUAAUACCGCAUACGACCUACGGGUGAAAGCAGGGGAUCUUCGGACCUUGCGCGAUUGAAUGAGCCGAUGUCGGAUUAGUUAGUUGGCGGGGUAAAGGCCCACCAAGGCGACGAUCCGUAGCUGGUCUGAGAGGAUGAUCAGCCACACUGGAACUGAGACACGGUCCAGACUCCUACGGGAGGCAGCAGUGGGGAAUAUUGGACAAUGGGCACAAGCCUGAUCCAGCCAUACCGCGUGGGUGAAGAAGGCCUUCGGGUUGUAAAGCCCUUUUGUUGGGAAAGAAAAGCAGCAGGUUAAUACCCCGCUGUUCUGACGGUACCCAAAGAAUAAGCACCGGCUAACUUCGUG
This 492-nucleotide ribosomal RNA is filed under the name uncultured bacterium. RNAcentral describes it as "partial 16S ribosomal RNA". It matches the Rfam family "Bacterial small subunit ribosomal RNA", at positions 29 to 507 of the family's 1533-position model. The record is from RNAcentral.